AGUCCCCAAAGAAAGCUGACAGCUGAGGGCUGUCUACUGGCAGCACUUCCCACAGCUGAAGGAAGAAGUCACUAAUGACCAAAGGAAAAUCUGGAGGCGCAUCACAGGGCUCACAACAUCUUCAUCACAACUUUAUGAGGAUAACACUUUUAUUUUUCCUAUUUUGCAGAUGAGAAAACUGAGGCACAGAGAGGUGAAAUAAGGUAGGCAAGCUCAUACAUUUCUUAAAUGGUUGCGCUAGGAUACAAACCCAGACAAUCUGGCGCCAGCAUUGUGCUUCUAACCACUGGCUCGUGCACUCUCCAAGGGAACUGCCUUUUGAUCUAAUUAUAUGCUGUCAUUAAAAUAAUCUUUUAAAGCAGGAGUUAGCAAACUGUUUGUAAAGAGCCAGAUAGUAAAUAUUUCCAGCUCCUCAGGCUGUGCUGCCUUUGUCACAACUAUUCGAUUUUGCUCUUGUAGUGCAAAGGCAGCCAUAGAUAGUACAUAAACAAAUAGCCAUGGCUCUGUGCCAACAAAACUUUAUUUACAGAAACAGGUGGCAGGCUGGAUUAGCUUGUUGACCCGUUUUAGGAAAUUAUUUAAAGAUUGAGAAAGCACUACGGUUUACUGUUACAGGAAUGAAAUAUUACUGGAUGAAAUAAUUAUACUGAUCCUAGCCUUAUUUUAAAAGGGCCCCCAGAAUGCUCUUCUCCAAGACUUAGAAAAAUCAAAUGCUAUCCAUCCCUCAAGAUACAUCCCUCCAGCCCCUCCUUGAAGUCUCCUGCAGCUAGAAGUAGAAGUAGCAUCUAUCCCCAUCUGGACUCCUUAGCACUUUGCUGUACCUGCCUUAGUCCCCAUCUCUUUACACACACACACACACACACACACACACACACAGAGUAUUAUAAUACUAUUACCUAUUAUAUUACAUUAUAUUAUUGUAGUUCUACAGGAACUACAAGGAAUUCUACUGUGAAUUCCUUAAGGGUGGGAUACAUUUUACAAUCAUCACUGUUUCUCUCAUUAGUUGUGGAAUCAAAAAAAUGAGUGCACGAUGAAAAAUUAUUCAAACACAUACAUGCUUUCAUUCCAAUUGAAAAUGUAAAAAUAUUACUGUUAAAACAAUAUUAAAGGACAUGUAAUACAAUUCA
RNAcentral lists this long non-coding RNA (1130 nucleotides) under Homo sapiens (human). Its description in RNAcentral is "HSALNT0339127". The record is from RNAcentral. Lineage: Eukaryota; Metazoa; Chordata; Mammalia; Primates; Hominidae.